UAGGGAAUCUUCCACAAUGGACGCAAGUCUGAUGGAGCAACGCCGCGUGAGUGAAGAAGGUUUUCGGAUCGUAAAGCUCUGUUGUUGGUGAAGAAGGAUAGAGGCAGUAACUGGUCUUUAUUUGACGGUAAUCAACCAGAAAGUCACGGCUAACUACGUGCCAGCAGCCGCGGUAAUACGUAGGUGGCAAGCGUUGUCCGGAUUUAUUGGGCGUAAAGCGAGCGCAGGAGGAAUGAUAAGUCUGAUGUGAAAGCCCACGGCUCAACCGGGGAACGGCAUCGGAAACUGUCAUUCUUGAGUGCAGAAGAGGAGAGUGGAAUUCCAUGUGUAGCGGUGGAAUGCGUAGAUAUAUGGAAGAACACCAGUGGCGAAGGAGGCUCUCUGGUCUGCAACUGACGCUGAGGCUCGAAAGAAUGGGUAGCGAACAGG
Molecule: ribosomal RNA, 429 nt
Filed under: bacterium
Lineage: Bacteria
Description: partial 16S ribosomal RNA
Rfam family: Bacterial small subunit ribosomal RNA
Source: RNAcentral